UACACAUUUGAGAACACACACUGGAGAGA
This 29-nucleotide non-coding RNA is filed under the name Cricetulus griseus (Chinese hamster). Lineage: Eukaryota; Metazoa; Chordata; Mammalia; Rodentia; Cricetidae. The record is from RNAcentral.